UAAUGAUAAUGAUAAUGAUGAUGGUGAUGAUGAUGACGAUGACGAGGAUAAUGAAAACAAUCAUCAUCUUUAUCGCAUCACAUCAUUAGACAUU
Molecule: microRNA precursor, 94 nt
Filed under: Glossina austeni
Lineage: Eukaryota; Metazoa; Arthropoda; Insecta; Diptera; Glossinidae
Description: microRNA mir-598
Source: RNAcentral